AGCAGCCAUGUCAAAUUCAGUGUUGUAUCUUUCAUUGCAAUCACUGGCCCAAACGGCUGCCACACAAUACCUGCAGCACAUGGGCCUGGCACCUGUCUAGUUGCCCAGGAUAAAAAAUAACUGCUGCAGACAAUG
Molecule: small nucleolar RNA, 135 nt
Filed under: Xenopus tropicalis (tropical clawed frog)
Lineage: Eukaryota; Metazoa; Chordata; Amphibia; Anura; Pipidae
Description: Small nucleolar RNA SNORA5 (ENSXETG00000042888.1)
Rfam family: Small nucleolar RNA SNORA5
About the family: ACA5 is a member of the H/ACA class of snoRNA that guide the sites of modification of uridines to pseudouridines.
Source: Rfam by way of RNAcentral